CUGAGAAGAUAGUGGCGAACGGGUGAGGUAACACGUGGGUAACCUGCCCAUAAGAGGGGGAUAACAUCCGGAAACGGGUGCUAAUACCGCAUAGUUUCUUGAUCGCAUGAUUGAGAAAGGAAAGACGGCCUUUGUGCUGUCGCUUAUGGAUGGACCCGCGGCGUAUUAGUUAGUUGGUGAGGUAACGGCUCACCAAGACGAUGAUACGUAGCCGACCUGAGAGGGUGAUCGGCCACAUUGGGACUGAGACACGGCCCAAACUCCUACGGGAGGCAGGCAGUAGGGAAUCUUCCGCAAUGGACGAAAGUCUGACGGAGCAACGCCGCGUGAGUGAAGAAAAGGUUUUCGGAUCGUAAAACUCUGUUGUCAGAGAAGAACAAGUUGGAGAGUAACUGCUCCAGCCUUGACGGUAUCUGACCAGAAAGCCACGGCUAACUACGUGCCAGCCGCAGC
RNAcentral lists this ribosomal RNA (453 nucleotides) under uncultured bacterium. RNAcentral's name for it is "bacterial SSU rRNA". It matches the Rfam family "Bacterial small subunit ribosomal RNA", at positions 84 to 518 of the family's 1533-position model. The record is from RNAcentral.